UCUCUCCCUCUCCCCCUGCUUGUGCUCCCUCUCCUGCUGUCUCUCUCUCUCUGUCCAGUAAAUAAAAUAGAUCUUUAAAAAAAUUGGACCUGGGAAAUGGAGGGGCUGCUAUCAGCAACCAGGAACCCCGUCUUUGAUCGGGGCAUCAUCCGGUGAACUUCACGCAGCGGGUGCCUUGAACCUGAUCCCGAUGAAAGGAAGAUCUGCCUGCCACAUGCCCCGUUUCCACGCGGAGGGCUGUGGGGCUGCCAUGGAGGUGCACAUGUGCGUGUCUGAGAGUGCCAGGGCAGAAGCAGCUCUUUGACCAAAAGCCGUAUGUAUGAUGGACGCGGAGUCCGGGCCAGGUGGUGAGGAAAAGGCUAGCCGCCGCGCCAGGGGGGUCCGUCACCGGAGCAGAUGCUGCGGACGAAAGCAGAUAAGAGGAAGAGGAGAUUCCUGAGCUCCAGUUUAAAGGAUGAAAUAAAAAAGGAAGCGGCAUCCAGACAGACAAAGCACUGAGGUCGGAGGUAACCCCAUGGGCAAAGGUACGCGCUGGC
Molecule: long non-coding RNA, 536 nt
Filed under: Mustela putorius furo (domestic ferret)
Lineage: Eukaryota; Metazoa; Chordata; Mammalia; Carnivora; Mustelidae
Description: lncRNA (ENSMPUG00000026025.1)
Source: RNAcentral